This 345-nucleotide unclassified non-coding RNA is filed under the name soil metagenome. RNAcentral's name for it is "partial contains 5.8S ribosomal RNA, internal transcribed spacer 2, and large subunit ribosomal RNA". The stretch from base 1 to 119 matches the Rfam family "5.8S ribosomal RNA", at positions 35 to 154 of the family's 154-position model. The record is from RNAcentral.
GAUGAAGAACGUAGCGAAAUGCGAUACGUAAUGUGAAUUGCAAAUUCAGUGAAUCAUCGAGUCUUUGAACGCACAUUGCGCCCCCUGGUAUUCCGGGGGGCAUGCCUGUCCGAGCGUCAUUGCUGCCCUCAAGCACGGCUUGUGUGUAGGGCCCCGUCCUCCGAUCCCGGGGGACGGGCCCGAAAGGCAGCGGCGGCACCGCGUCCGGUCCUCGAGCGUAUGGGGCUUUGUCACCCGCUCUGUAGGCCCGGCCGGCGCUUGCCGAUCAACCCAAAUUUUUAUCCAGGUUGACCUCGGAUCAGGUAGGGAUACCCGCUGAACUUAAGCAUAUCAAUAAGCGGAGGA